AUUGAACGCUGGCGGAAUGCUUUACACAUGCAAGUCGAACGGCAGCACGGACUUCGGUCUGGUGGCGAGUGGCGAACGGGUGAGUAAUGUAACGGAACGUGCCCAGUCGUGGGGGAUAACGAAGUGAAAAUUACGCUAAUACCGCACACGAUCUAUGGAUGAAAGCGGGGGAUCGCAAGACCUCGCGCGAUUGGCGCGUCCGUGAUCAGAUAAGGUAGUUGGUGGGGUAAAGGCCCACCAAGCCAACGAUCUGUAGCUGGUCUGAGAGGACGACCAGCCACACUGGAACUGAGACACGGUCCAGACUCCUACGGGAGGCAGCAGUGGGGAAUUUUGGACAAUGGGCGAAAGCCUGAUCCAGCCAUUCCGCGUGCAGGAUGAAGGCCCUCGGGUUGUAAACUGCUUUUGUACAGAACGAAAAGGUUUCUACUAAUACUAGGAGCUCAUGACGGUACUGUAAGAAUAAGCACCGGCUAACUACGUGCCAGCAGCCGCCGCCG
Molecule: ribosomal RNA, 500 nt
Filed under: uncultured bacterium
Lineage: Bacteria
Description: partial 16S ribosomal RNA
Rfam family: Bacterial small subunit ribosomal RNA
Source: RNAcentral